RNAcentral lists this unclassified non-coding RNA (310 nucleotides) under uncultured fungus. RNAcentral describes it as "partial contains small subunit ribosomal RNA, internal transcribed spacer 1, and 5.8S ribosomal RNA". The stretch from base 1 to 73 matches the Rfam family "Eukaryotic small subunit ribosomal RNA", at positions 1759 to 1831 of the family's 1831-position model. Lineage: Eukaryota; Fungi. The record is from RNAcentral.
UCAAACUUGGUCAUUUAGAGGAAGUAAAAGUCGUAACAAGGUUUCCGUAGGUGAACCUGCGGAAGGAUCAUUACAGAGAAGGGGGUUUGCCCCCGGGGCUCCGGCCCUCCUCUAUACCCGUGUAUACCUCUCUUGUUGCUUUGGUGGGCCUUGGGCCCGCGCCCAUGCUGGCAGCUUUCCCCGCUGGCAAGCGCCCACCGUAAGCCCCCUUUCAAUAUUCUGUUUUCGGUACCGUCUGAGUGAAAACAACAAAUCAAGCAAAACUUUCAACAACGGAUCUCUUGGUUCUGGCAUCGAUGAAGAACGCAGC